This 497-nucleotide ribosomal RNA is filed under the name uncultured bacterium. RNAcentral describes it as "partial 16S ribosomal RNA". It matches the Rfam family "Bacterial small subunit ribosomal RNA", at positions 28 to 507 of the family's 1533-position model. The record is from RNAcentral.
GAUGAACGCUGGCGGCGUGCCUAAUACAUGCAAGUCGAGCGAACGGACGAGAAGCUUGCUUCUCUGAUGUUAGCGGCGGACGUGUGAGUAACACGUGGAUAACCUACCUAUAAGACUGGGAUAACUUCGGGAAACCGGAGCUAAUACCGGAUGAUAUUUUGAACCGCAUGGUUCAAAAGUGAAAGAAGGUCUUGCUGUCACUUAUAGAUGGAUCCGCGCUGCAUUAGCUAGUUGGUAAGGUAACGGCUUACCAAGGCUACGAUGCAUAGCCGACCUGAGAGGGGGAUCGGCGACACGGGAACGGGGACGGGGUCAAGGGGACUGCGAGAGGGAGCAGAAGGGAACCUGACGCAGUAGGCGAGAGCCUGGCGGAGCGAGGGGGAGCGAGAGGUGAAGGUGUUGGGAGCGGGAAGACCGGUUAUGAGGGGAAAACAUAUGUGGAAGGAACUGUAGAGAGAGUGACGGUACCUGAUAAGAAAGCCACGGCUAACUACGUG